UAAACAUUGACAGUUCACUUACCAACUGUCCGCCCGGGAACUACGAGCAUCAGCUUAAAACCCAAAGGACUUGGCGGUGCUUUAAACCCCCCUAGAGGAGCCUGUUCUAGAACCGAUAAUCCCCGUUCAACCUCACCCUUCCUUGUUCUUUCCGCCUAUAUACCACCGUCGUCAGUUUACCCUGUGAAGGUCAAACAGUAAGCAUAAUCGGCACAACCCCCAAAACGUCAGGUCGAGGUGUAGCGCAUGGAAGGGGAAGAAAUGGGCUACAUUCCUUAACACUAAGGCAUACGGAUGAUAUGUUGAAAUACAUAACUGAAGGAGGAUUUAGCAGUAAGCAGGAAGUAGAGUGUCCCGCUGAAACCGGC
This 368-nucleotide ribosomal RNA is filed under the name Centropyge tibicen (keyhole angelfish). Its description in RNAcentral is "partial 12S ribosomal RNA". It matches the Rfam family "Bacterial small subunit ribosomal RNA", at positions 803 to 1372 of the family's 1533-position model. The record is from RNAcentral. Lineage: Eukaryota; Metazoa; Chordata; Actinopteri; Pomacanthidae.